Long non-coding RNA from Acanthopagrus latus (yellowfin seabream), 931 nucleotides. RefSeq lists it as uncharacterized. The transcript is spliced from 2 exons. Lineage: Eukaryota; Metazoa; Chordata; Actinopteri; Spariformes; Sparidae. The record is from RefSeq and is a predicted model, not a curated record.
AUUCCCCAAAAUUAAGCAACAUUUGCUCGAGCACUUCUGGCAUCCUCGUCCAGCACCGUGGAUCUUUACACACCAGGAGACAUCAACGUAACGAGAGACGUACCCUGCUGAAAAGAUGGAGUACCCAGAAUGAAGAAGGAGAACAACUCACAGACUCCACCAACCAAAACCUCUAUUCAUGCUCUCCAUGACUGGGAUAUUGUGAGCAACAGCGUCACCGGUAACCUUGUAGAGGAGCAGCAGAAGAUUUACUGACUUGUCUCCAGGCUGAUGUCAGUGGUCUGAAGGGCGAGAACCUUUUCCCACGGUCUCACCCCCGGCAGAUGUAAAUGAAAAUGUUAAUGUUCAAGUUUUUCUUCACUUGACUCUUGUGCUGAAUUACAAUCACAUGCAGGUUUAAGUCACCGGAAAAGUACCUGGGAUAUAAAAUAGCUGCUGCUACAUUCACUCAUUAUUUCAUAUAGCAUGUUUUUUGAUACCUAAAAUCUGUAAUAUGUGUUUAAAAAAACAUAUAUUACACUAUAUUGUUGUGCCAAUGUGUAUAGUGUAAUUUAAAUGUAUGGAUUGCUGCAGCUGCUUGUGCUUGGCCUCUGAAUGAAAGGACUGAUGAAGUCAGAAGCAAAUAUGACACAUUUCACUCAUUUAUCUCUUAAUUUACAAAAUGGUUGUACAGCCACAACAGUCUCUGAGCCGAGUCUUUUUAUAGCCCUGUUAUAUAUUCUCUCACUACUUGCAUGUGGCCAAUUUUCCACUGGGCUGCUAAAAUGGCACCAGGUCUGCGUGGUGCCAGAGGAUUUGUGAUGCAACUGUAAAGCCUCUCGAUCUGUGAAGUAUCUCGCCUCCAGUUGGCCUGUCUUGCUUUUACUGACCACAGCCCAGUGGUGGCAACUGUGUAUUGAUUACAAAAUAAAUCUGUUGUAUCUGCCUUCUA